CUGCAGUGAUGACCUUUUAGGACACCUUUGAAUUCACCAUGAAACUCAAACAUUGAAUCUGAGCACC
Molecule: small nucleolar RNA, 67 nt
Organism: Cottoperca gobio
Lineage: Eukaryota; Metazoa; Chordata; Actinopteri; Perciformes; Bovichtidae
Gene: SNORD58
Rfam family: Small nucleolar RNA SNORD58
About the family: snoRNA U58 is found in introns 1, 3 and 6 of the ribosomal protein RPL17 gene in humans. U58 is a member of the C/D class of snoRNA which contain C (UGAUGA) and D (CUGA) box motifs. Most of the members of the box C/D family function in directing site-specific 2'-O-methylation of substrate RNAs.
Source: Ensembl